CCCUAUAGCUCAGAUGGUAAAGAAUCUGCCUGUAAUGCAGGAGACCCAGGUGCGAUCCCUGGGUUGGGGA
Molecule: transfer RNA, 70 nt
Filed under: Ovis aries (sheep)
Lineage: Eukaryota; Metazoa; Chordata; Mammalia; Artiodactyla; Bovidae
Rfam family: tRNA
About the family: Transfer RNA (tRNA) molecules are approximately 80 nucleotides in length.
Source: Rfam by way of RNAcentral